AACGAACGCUGGCGGCAUGCCUAACACAUGCAAGUCGAACGAGACCUUCGGGUCUAGUGGCGCACGGGUGCGUAACGCGUGGGAACCUGCCCUUAGGUUCGGAAUAACUCCCCGAAAGGGGUGCUAAUACCGGAUAAUGUCUUCGGACCAAAGAUUUAUCGCCUUUGGAUGGGCCCGCGUUGGAUUAGCUAGUUGGUAGGGUAAAAGCCUACCAAGGCGACGAUCCAUAGCUGGCCUGAGAGGAUGACCAGCCACACUGGGACUGAGACACGGCCCAGACUCCUACGGGAGGCAGCAGUGGGGAAUAUUGGACAAUGGGCGAAAGCCUGAUCCAGCAAUGCCGCGUGAGUGAUGAAGGCCUUAGGGUUGUAAAGCUCUUUUACCCGGGAUGAUAAUGACAGUACCGGGAGAAUAAGCUCCGGCUAACUCCGUG
Molecule: ribosomal RNA, 433 nt
Filed under: uncultured bacterium
Lineage: Bacteria
Description: partial 16S ribosomal RNA
Rfam family: Bacterial small subunit ribosomal RNA
Source: RNAcentral